Pantherophis guttatus is the source of this 205-nucleotide non-coding RNA. The record is from RefSeq and is a predicted model, not a curated record. Lineage: Eukaryota; Metazoa; Chordata; Lepidosauria; Squamata; Colubridae.
AUUGAUAGGAAAUAAAAGAAUGUUGGAGUUGGAAGAUUACAAUUUCAGAUUUGGAUGACAUAGUUUCCUAUGGUGUGACACACUGAAGAUACACUUCUGGAAUGCAACAUGGACUCCUGGACAAAACCUUAUAUACCUGGAAGGCGGGGUCAAGGUGGCAUCUGGGCAUGUGCGAGGCCCAUUUCACGCUGGAGGCCGUCCGGAG